Molecule: long non-coding RNA, 680 nt
Organism: Heterocephalus glaber (naked mole-rat)
Lineage: Eukaryota; Metazoa; Chordata; Mammalia; Rodentia; Bathyergidae
Source: Ensembl
CAGACAUGAACUAGGCAUGGGCAGCAUUCCACAGGGACACAUGCGGGAUCACACUAAGAGCAAGCCAGAGACAGUGUCCUGAUCAACAGCCUCCUCCCCCAGUUCCGCAGCCCCUUUUCUCUCUGCAAAGAGAACAACAGUGAGAAUUGACAAAAAACAGCCGGUAGAAAACACACUACCCUCCCCCGGCGGGGAGCCGGAAACAGAGAAUAUUGAUGGCAUCUGACUAGUGCAUCAGGCACAAGGGGCUUCUCCCAGCCACCACGAUGUGACAGCUUUGCUCCUUCACACCCUUCUGCCGUGAUGUCCCUGCCUUGGAGCCAGGUGACCAUGGACUGAAUCCCCCAAACCAUGAGCCAAUCAAACCUUUCCUGCUUCAGCUUAUGAAUGUCAGGUGUUUUACCUCAGCAAAUACGAUGGUUAUGAAUAUGAAUUCUCAACAGAUGGAUAUCACUGUCAAACUUCAUCACUAACUGGUUGUCAUAUUUUACCACAUCUCAUAGCAAUGGAAGGUACAAAUUUGAACCAGACACCGACCCUCCUUUGAACUUGUUAUAAACUGAUACAAUAAAUCCUCUGCCUCACCUGGGUUAAUCUUGGGGUCCUGCUCUGACUGAUUGAAAAUCAGUUUAUUUCACAACAGGGAAAGGUCUGGGCUGAAGAAAAUCACAAGUUUCGGA